GGGAAUUUAUUGGGGCGUAAGCGGCGUCGUCAGGUCGGUUCUCUUAAGUCUGAUGUGAAAUCCCCCGGCUCAACCUGGGAGGUGUCAUUGAAAACUGGGAAACUUGAUUGCGUAAAAGGAGAGUGGAAUUCCCCGUGUAGCGGUGAAAUGCUAUAGAUAUGUGAAGGAACACCAGUGGCGAAGGCGACUCUCUGGACUGAUACUGACGCUGAGGAGCGAAAGCGUGGGGAGCGAACAGGAUUAGAUACCCUGGUAGUCCACGCCGUAAACGAUGACUGCUAACCGUUGGGAUCUUUCCGCCCCUUAUGGCUGCACUUAACGCAUUAGUCAAUCGGCCGGGGAAGUACGGCCGCAGGACUGAAAUUCAAUGGAUUGACGGGGGCCCGCCCAACCGGGGAACCAGGUGGUUUAUUUCAAAGCACCCCGAAAAACCUUACUGGGUCUUGACUUCCUCUGACUUUCCUAAAAAGGAGAGGUGCCCUUCGGAGCUCAAACGCCAGGGGUGGCUGGGUUGUCGCCACUUCGGGUCUGGAAAGGUUGGGUUAAUUCCCGCACCAAGCGCAACCCUUGAUCUUAUUUGCCACCCCUCAGUUGGGCACUCUAAGGAGACUGCCGGUGACAAACCGGAGGAAGGUGGGGAUGACGUCAAAUCAUCAUGCCCCUUAUGACCUGGGCUACACACGUGCUACAAUGGACAGAACAAAGGGCAGCCAAGCCGCGAGGUGAAGCUAAUCCCACAAAUCUGAUCGCAGUUCGGAUCGCAGUCUGCAACUCGACUGCGUGAAGCUGGAAUCGCUAGUAAUCGCGAAUCAGAAUGUCGCGGUGAAUACGUUCCCGGGCCUUGUACACACCGCCCGUCACACCAUGAGAGUUGGUUGCACCCGAAGUCGGUGAGUCUAACCUUUUAGGGAGCCCGGCUACCGAAGGAGGGAUCCAUGACUGGGGGUGAAGUCGUAACAAGGUAACCGUAUGGGAACGUGCGGCUGAAAUCCCCCUCCUUAAAGGGGGGGGGGGGGUCCCGCUCUCUGUU
Molecule: ribosomal RNA, 1030 nt
Filed under: Bacillus subtilis
Lineage: Bacteria; Bacillati; Bacillota; Bacilli; Caryophanales; Bacillaceae
Description: bacterial SSU rRNA
Rfam family: Bacterial small subunit ribosomal RNA
Source: RNAcentral